RNAcentral lists this long non-coding RNA (3274 nucleotides) under Xyrichtys novacula (pearly razorfish). The record is from RNAcentral. Lineage: Eukaryota; Metazoa; Chordata; Actinopteri; Labriformes; Labridae.
GUGCUUUACAAUACAUAGAAAAUAAAAAUGAUUAAAUAAAUACAGUAAAAAGCAACAAAAGCAAUAAUAGAAGUUUAAAAAAGAAUAAAAUACAAUCCAAAAAAAUAAAGUGUCACCACGCUACUGGGUAUUAAAAGCCAGCAUAAAUAAGUUUGUUUUCAAUCGGGAUUUAAAAAGGGUUAAGGUCGGAAAUAAGUCUCAUUUCAGCGUGGAGCUUAAUCCAGAGCCUGAGACCAACAACUGAAGAGGCUCGGUCACCCCAGUGUUUGUGUUUUGACCCGGGCACCUCCAGCAGAAGUUGAUUCGACGAUCUCAGAGCUCUACCCGGCUCCUGAACGGUUAAAAGUUCAGUUAAAUAUAUGGGACAAUAGAAGGCCAGUUUACGGUUCUAUUUUGGUUCUUAGUUGAACAGAUUUUUUAACUGAGUUAGAAAUAAAACAGACUCAAAUACAGAUGAACUCAAACAGAUCAAACCACAGAGUGGAAACAGUGAUUGCUCUGAGGCCAUCUGGUGGAUGAAUGAAGGAUGGCAGGGGAUCAGACUGAGAGGCAGCGGGCUGUUGUUUCAGGACAAAAUAUGAGUUUGAGUCAGAUGAAAAAAAAAACAUUCAACACCAAAGAGUUAAAAAAGAGACCGCUAGAAAAUAAGUGGAGGGUAUGAGCAGAAAAACCGACUUGUGUUUGUAGAGAAAAAAAAGAGAAAAUAGGACCCAGGUUCAUGAAGUGACUCCAAAAUCAGUCUCCUCUGCAUCUCCUGAGUUUACAAAAGUAUUAACUGAUGAAGUUUUCCUGCUCUAAAUUGUUUAUUCUGCCCCCUAGUGGUAUAAAGCAUCAAUCCUGCUGGUUAGAUACUGGUUCACAGUCAUAAAUCUCAAAAAUGUGAAUCAUAUUAAACAUUUAAAAAGCGAUUACUCCGGGGCUUCGGGAAAUCCUCGAGGUCGGAGGAUCUCUGCUCGUCUAAUAGUCCGGCGGUUCACGGCUGUUACGUCUAUCCGGCACAUUUAAUGGAAAUUAAAGCUCCACUUUCCCUCCUGAUAUUAAGAAUUUCUAAACUUGGACUCUUAAACCCGCGAGGGCUCAGUGAGGAUUAGACCUGAAGCUCUUUCUGGGGAUGGAUUAAGAGGAUUUCUUGGAGAACGGGGCUGUUCUAGUUGGACUCUGUUUAGUUUGGAUUAUCGUUAAAUGUUUAGUGAUUUAGAUGUCCUUUGAUAACACAUUUGAAUAUCUUAACAGUGGUGCUGUCGAGUCAAUUUACAUAAUUUUUCCUCUGUUGUUAAUCACCAAGGAUUUUCCCAAAGGUAGCUGAGCUUCAGUCGGCGCCGACUCCAUGAAUACACAAAAACAUCGACAGAAAAGAUGAAUACUCUUCAAUUUCUUGGAUAAAUUUGCAGAAGAUAGACGUCAAAGUUUCUCCCUCCCUGUCAAUCACGUCACAGAAUUUCUGAUUCAAGGUCUGCCUGAGCUUGAACUCUUAAAAACUUAAUAAGAAUCAAUACAAGCCGUCCACAUGUUUUACUUUAAAAGGGUUCACAGUUUUAUUUCUGUCAGCACAGCAGAGGGGGGAAAGUCCUUAUGUUGCAAGUCCAAGUCGAGUCUCAAGUCCUUUGCUCUCAAGUCCGAGGCAAGUCCAAGUCAACACAGACAAGUCCCAAGUCUAGUCCAAGUCCUUUGCUCUCAAGUCUCGAGUCAAGUCCAAGUCAACACAGACAAGUCCCAAGUCAAGUCCAAGUCCUUUGCUCUCAAGUCUCGAGUCAAGUCCAAGUCAACACAGACAAGUCCCAAGUCAAGUCCAAGUCCUGAACUUUUUGUUUCGAGUCCCAACCAAGUCCUUACCGUUUCUUUCAAGGCAAAAACAAGUCAUAUCAAAGCCAUAAGCCAUCUGUUAUAUGCAAAGAUUUACAGUUUGAGACAGUGUUGCCAAGUUUUGUGAGAGAAAUAAGGAAACAGACCUCCAGAAACAAGACAAAAACAAGCGAAUUUCUUUUGCGGGAAAUAAGCAGACUUGGCAACAUAACACAGCGUUACCAACGGCCGUAAUUACUGACUAUUAGUUGAUGCAACACUUUUUAAACGGUUUGGGCUGUAAGGUAUUAAGUGACUUAAGAAGACUUGACUUGACUUUUCAAGUCACUGGGCUCAAGUCAAGUCAAGUCUCAAGUCUUUAGCAAUCAAGUCCCAAGCGAGUCCAAGUCAUUUCUUGAUUUCAUCAAGCAAGUCAAAAAUGAGACUCAAGUCCAAGUCGAGUCUCGAGUCGAGUCGUCAAGCCCCCACCUCUGCAGCACAGUGUACAGAAACAUCAUAACAUUGUGAUGUCUUUGUGUACUCAUGUCGUGUUUGUGAUGCCGAGCUGCCUAAUAUUCUCUCAGGUCACUUAAUCACUCAGAAAAAGAUGCCAAGCUGUUGAAUAAUGAGACUGAUAAACUUAAAUCUGUUUAGACUCAAACCCGACGCCUCGGCUUUGCAGAGAUGCUCAGUUCAUUAUUCACAGACUGCGCGGUGACUCAUCUUCUCUGUUAUUAUUUCACAUUUAUUCAAAGACACACACAGAUGGUACACAGAGUCACAGAGUGUACUUCAGCGGUUUAUAGAGAUAUUAGUGAACAAAGGUACUAUUUACCUCAGACUGAAAAGAACUGAAAAAAAAAGACAGUCUUUGUGGUUUUUCUGCUUGUUUCUGUUUGUGGCAUCCUUGUGUUUUCAAUCGCCUUUCACUGGAGUCUAGUUCAUCAGAGAAACACUCUGUACUCAGGAUGAUAUAACCAUCUUGAGUGCACAUUGAUGAGGUCAUUCUGCUCUGUUUGUAUGUCUCGCUUAUAUAAACUUCUCGUGUUUUCCGAGUUUUAACACACCUUCAACCUGAGUGACGACAUUCAUUUUGCACUUCCUUGUGUUGGACGCAAGAGGUAUCGUCUAUUUAAAGGGAUAUUCCGGCGUAAUUAAGUUAGGGUCAAACACGCCGUAAUACCGAGUUAGACACCCUGUCGAGAGAUGAAUGUUGCCGACCGCUUGCCGUUUCAGGAAAUUUUCACGCAAACAUGAAACCACUGAAAACAAUGUAGUGCAUAUGCCACACCAGUAAAUGGCGCUGUAACGCUCCCCCAAAAAUGUACCAAAAGACCAAAGAAGAGUACAGAGUAUGGGUAUGAAGGUGUUUUAGCAGGAUCCACACAGGCGGCAGUUCAAGAAAGAUACAAGUAGGCAUCCUCACAGAAUCGAAACAAUAGUUAUAUACAGAUUACUGCAAUCUGGGACCUGUUUUCAGAAAGUAUUGCUU